RNAcentral lists this ribosomal RNA (561 nucleotides) under Hansenula anomala. Its description in RNAcentral is "eukaryotic LSU rRNA". It matches the Rfam family "Eukaryotic large subunit ribosomal RNA", at positions 47 to 611 of the family's 3401-position model. The record is from RNAcentral. Lineage: Eukaryota; Fungi; Ascomycota; Saccharomycetes; Phaffomycetales; Wickerhamomycetaceae.
AAAGCGGAGGAAAAGAAACCAACAGGGAUUGCCUCAGUAACGGCGAGUGAAGCGGCAAAAGCUCAAAUUUGAAAUCUAGCACCUUCGGUGUUCGAGUUGUAAUUUGAAGAUGGUAACCUUGGGUUUGGCUCUUGUCUAUGUUCCUUGGAACAGGACGUCAUAGAGGGUGAGAAUCCCGUCUGAUGAGAUGCCCAUUCCUAUGUAAGGUGCUAUCGAAGAGUCGAGUUGUUUGGGAAUGCAGCUCUAAGUGGGUGGUAAAUUCCAUCUAAAGCUAAAUAUUGGCGAGAGACCGAUAGCGAACAAGUACAGUGAUGGAAAGAUGAAAAGAACUUUGAAAAGAGAGUGAAAAAGUACGUGAAAUUGUUGAAAGGGAAGGGCAUUAGAUCAGACUUGGUGUUUUACGAUUAUCUUCUCUUCUUGAGUUGUGCACUCGUAUUUCACUGGGCCAGCAUCGAUUCGGAUGGCAAGAUAAUGGCAGUUGAAUGUGGCUUCACUUCGGUGGAGUGUUAUAGCUUCUGCUGAUAUUGCCUGUCUGGAUCGAGGGCUGCGUCUUUGACUAGG